Molecule: long non-coding RNA, 920 nt
Filed under: Daucus carota (carrot)
Lineage: Eukaryota; Viridiplantae; Streptophyta; Magnoliopsida; Apiales; Apiaceae
Description: long non-coding RNA (DCAR_LNC006060)
Source: RNAcentral
UGCGAUUUUCUCUUCGACAAUGGGCUCAUCUGCGAUCUUCUCUUCUUUAACUACAGGAGUUUGAAGAAGCUUUACUUCCGCUGGAUGUUCAAUCACCACAUUUUCUUCUACUACAGGAGGUUCAGCAGCAAUCUCUGGUUCUUCAACAACAUGAGCAUCAUUUGCAAUUUUCUCUUUGACAAUGUGCUCAUCUGCGAUCUUUACUUCAACUGCAGGAGUUUGAAGAAGUUUUACUUCUGCUGGAGGUUGAAUCACAAUGUUCUCUUCUACUCCAGGAGGUUCAGCGGCAAUCUCUGGUUCUUCAACAACAUGAGUAUCACUUGCAAUUUUUUCUUCGACAAGGGGCUCAUCCGCGAUCUUCACAUCUUCAACUACAGGAGUUUGAAGAAGCUUUACUUCCGCAGGAGGUUCAGUCACGAUAUUAUUUUCUACUACAAUAGAUUCAGAAGCAAUCUUUGGUUCUUCAACAACACUAGUAUCACUUGUGAUUUUCUCUUCCACAAGGGGCUCAUCUGCGAUCUUCACUUCUUCAGGUACAGGAGUUUGAAGAAGCUGUACUCCUGAUGGAGGUUCAAUCAUGAUAUUUUCUUCUACUGUAGGAGGUUCAGCAGCAAUCUCUGGUUCUUCAACAUGAGUAUCAGUUGCAUUUUUCUCUUCCACAAGGGGCUCAUCUGCAAUCUUAACUUCUUCAAUAACAGGCGUUUGAAGAAGCUUUACUUCUUCUGGAGAUUCAGUCAUGAGAUUCACUUCUACUACAGGAGGUUCAGCAGCAAUCUCUGGUCCUUCAACGUGAGUAUCACUUGCAGUUUUCUCUUCCACAAGGGGCUCAUCUGCAAUCUUAACUUCUUCAAUAACUGGCGUUUCAACAAGCUUUACUUCUUGUGGAGAUUCAGUCAUGAGAUUCUCUUCUACUACAGGAG